RNAcentral lists this ribosomal RNA (700 nucleotides) under uncultured bacterium. Its description in RNAcentral is "bacterial SSU rRNA". It matches the Rfam family "Bacterial small subunit ribosomal RNA", at positions 56 to 792 of the family's 1533-position model. The record is from RNAcentral.
UGCAAGUCGUACGGGAGUUUUUAACUCAAGUGGCGGACGGGUGAGUAACACGUGAGAAUUUACCUUUAGGAGGGGGAUAACAAUUGGAAACGAUUGCUAAUACCCCAUAUGCUUUUUUAAGUGAAACGAAUUCUUUCGCCUAAAGAAAAGCUCGCGGCUGAUUAGCUAGUUGGUAAGGUAAUGGCUUACCAAGGCGACGAUCAGUAUCUGGUUUGAGAGGACGAUCAGACACACUGGAACUGAGACACGGUCCAGACUCCUACGGGAGGCAGCAGUGGGGAAUUUUCCGCAAUGGGCGAAAGCCUGACGGAGCAAUACCGCGUGAGGGAAGAAAGCCUACUGGGUUGUAAACCUCUUUUUUCAGGGAGGAAAAAAAUGACGUGUACCUGAAGAAUAAGCAUCGGCUAACUCCGUGCGAGCAGCCGCGGUAAGACGGAGGAUGCAAGUGUUAUCCGGAAUUACUGGGCGUAAAGCGUCUGUAGGUGGUUUAAUAAGUCAACUGUUAAAUCUUGAGGCUUAACUUCAAAACAGCAGUCGAAACUAUUAGACUAGAGUAUAGUAGGGGUAAAGGGAAUUUCCAGUGGAGCGGUGAAAUGCGUAGAUAUUGGAAAGAACACCGAUGGCGAAAGCACUUUACUGGGCUAUUACUAACACUCAGAGACGAAAGCUAGGGUAGCAAAUGGGAUUAGAUACCCCAGUA